This 828-nucleotide ribosomal RNA is filed under the name uncultured bacterium. Its description in RNAcentral is "bacterial SSU rRNA". It matches the Rfam family "Bacterial small subunit ribosomal RNA", at positions 18 to 833 of the family's 1533-position model. The record is from RNAcentral.
CCUGGCUCAUAACGAACGCUGGCGGCAGGCUUCUUACAUGCAAGUCGCGCGAUUAAAGCCCGCGAGGGGAUAUAAAGCGGCGAAUAGGUGAGUAACAGGUGGAUAAUCUGCCUUUCAGUGGGGGAUAACGGCUGGAAACGGCCGCUAAUACCGCAUACGGGUGCCGGGGUUAUGGCCCUGGCAAAGAAAGGGGCUGCAAGGCCUCGCUGAGAGAUGAGUCCGCCCCCCAUUAGCUAGUUGGCGGGAUAAUAGCCCACCAAGGCAACGAUGGGUAGCCGAGCUGAGAGGUUGAUCGGCCACACUGGAACUGAGAUACGGUCCAGACACCUACGGGUGGCAGCAGUAGGGAAUAUUGGUCAAUGGGCGCAAGCCUGAACCAGCCAUGCCGCGUGAGUGAUGAAGGCCUUCGGGUCGUAAAACUCUUUUCUGAGGGAAGAACGGCGAGAGGAGGAAAUGCCUUUCGCGUGACGGUACCUCAGGAAUAAGCAACGGCUAGCUCCGUGCCAGCAGCCGCGGUAAUACGGAGGUUGCGAGCGUUGUUCGGAAUAACUGGGCGUAAAGGGAGCGCAGGCGGUCAAGUCAGUCUAAAGUGAAAUCCCGGGGCUUAACCUCGGAAGUGCUUUGGAUACUGCUUGGCUAGAGUUCGUGAGAGGAAAGCGGAAUUCCAGGUGUAGCGGUGAAAUGCGUAGAUAUCUGGAGGAACACCGGUGGCGAAAGCGGCUUUCUGGCGCGAUACUGACGCUGAGGCUCGAAAGCAUGGGAGCAAACAGGAUUAGAUACCCUGGUAGUCCAUGCCGUAAACGUUGUGUGCUAGGUGUAGGAGGUAUC